GCUCUUGGUCACCUGACGUCCUUCUGUUUCAGGUGUCCCUAUGAAGGUGAUGACUAUCUGACCCUCCUACACCCAGUAGGUGUCUCUUCUGGCCUGCAGUUCCCAACCCAUCACAAGCGGUUUGAAGUGAAGACGUUUGUUUUCUUGGAUGGAGUGUCUGAGCAGCCCCUUUCUGGACAGGUUUACUUGCACUGCAGUGCUGAGGUUUGCUCUCCCUCUACUCAGGAUGACUGCACAACCAGAUGUGGUCCAAGGACACGCAGGAGUGCUCUCCUCCAUGAGGGGACCUUGGUAAGUGCUCCUGGUCCAGUUGUUCUCCUGGAAGUUGAGAACAGCCAGUCUAAGCAGCUGCUUAAUGAGAAUGGUAAGUGAUGUUCCUUGUUUAGUUCACCUGAGCAUCUU
This is a non-coding RNA of Chiloscyllium plagiosum (whitespotted bambooshark), 402 nucleotides long. Lineage: Eukaryota; Metazoa; Chordata; Chondrichthyes; Orectolobiformes; Hemiscylliidae. The record is from RefSeq and is a predicted model, not a curated record.